AACGGGUGUAGCAAUACAUCAGUGGCAAACGGGUGAGGAAUAUAGAGGAAUCUUCCCAGCAGUAAGGAAUAACCCUGGGAAACCAGAGCUAAUGCCAUAUAUUACCGAUUUAUCGGGAAAGAUUUAUCGCUGUUGGAUGAGCCUCUAUCGGAUUAGCUAGUUGGUAGGGUAAUGGCCUACCAAGGCAAUGAUCCGUAGCUGGUCUGAGAGGAUGAUCAGCCACACUGGGACUGAGACACGGCCCAGACUCC
RNAcentral lists this ribosomal RNA (251 nucleotides) under uncultured bacterium. RNAcentral describes it as "partial 16S ribosomal RNA". It matches the Rfam family "Bacterial small subunit ribosomal RNA", at positions 65 to 339 of the family's 1533-position model. The record is from RNAcentral.